Molecule: ribosomal RNA, 492 nt
Filed under: uncultured bacterium
Lineage: Bacteria
Description: partial 16S ribosomal RNA
Rfam family: Bacterial small subunit ribosomal RNA
Source: RNAcentral
AGUGAACGCUGGCGGUAGGCCUAACACAUGCAAGUCGAGCGGCAGCACAGUAAGAGCUUGCUCUUACGGGUGGCGAGUGGAGGACGGGUGAGGAAUACAUCGGAAUCUACUUUUUCGUGGGGGAUAACGUAGGGAAACUUACGCUAAUACCGCAUACGACCUACGGGUGAAAGCAGGGGAUCUUCGGACCUUGCGCGAUUGAAUGAGCCGAUGUCGGAUUAGCUAGCUGGUGGGGUAAAGGCCCACCAAGGCGACGAUCCGUAGCUGGUCUGAGAGGAUGAUCAGCCACACUGGAACUGAGACACGGUCCAGACUCCUACGGGAGGCAGCAGUGGGGAAUAUUGGACAAUGGGCGCAAGCCUGAUCCAGCCAUACCGCGUGGGUGAAGAAGGCCUUCGGGUUGUAAAGCCCUUUUGUUGGGAAAGAAAAGCAGCAGGUUAAUACCCCGCUGUUCUGACGGUACCCAAAGAAUAAGCACCGGCUAACUUCGUG